Non-coding RNA from Penaeus chinensis, 74 nucleotides. The record is from the annotation of a RefSeq genome assembly. NCBI's taxonomy places the organism in Eukaryota, Metazoa, Arthropoda, Malacostraca, Decapoda, Penaeidae.
GUCCCAGUGGCGCAAUCGGUUAGCGCACGGUACUUAUAAUGCCGAGGUUGUGAGUUCGAGCCUCACCUGGGACA